This 253-nucleotide ribosomal RNA is filed under the name uncultured bacterium. RNAcentral describes it as "partial 16S ribosomal RNA". It matches the Rfam family "Bacterial small subunit ribosomal RNA", at positions 524 to 776 of the family's 1533-position model. The record is from RNAcentral.
UACGUAGGCAGCGAGCGUUGUUCGGAGUUACUGGGCGUAAAGGGUGUGUAGGCGGUUUUCUAAGUUUGGUGUGAAAUCUCCCGGCUCAACCGGGAGGGUGCGCCGAAAACUGGGAGACUAGAGUGCGGGAUGGGAGAGUAGAAUUCCUGGUGUAGCGGUGAAAUGCGUAGAUAUCGGGAGGAACACCAGUGGCGAAGGCGACUACCUGGCCUGUUCUUGACGCUGAGGCGCGAAAGCUAGGGGAGCAAACGGG